This 203-nucleotide long non-coding RNA is filed under the name Gossypium barbadense (sea-island cotton). Its description in RNAcentral is "long non-coding RNA (GBAR_LNC006018)". The record is from RNAcentral. Lineage: Eukaryota; Viridiplantae; Streptophyta; Magnoliopsida; Malvales; Malvaceae.
UUUUGGGGGGGUUAGUAUUAAAAAAAGAAAUAUUUUAGUUAAUGGGUUGGUUUAUGUAAGGUUUGAUGGGUUAAAUUUAGUUUGGGUUAAUUAGUGGGUUGGGUGAUGAUAUGUUAAGUUAGUAGGUUGGGUUGGUUGUGUUGGAUUAUUAAGUUAGUGGGCUGAGAUUGGUUUGUAUUGGGUUGAAGUAAUUUGGAUUUUGU